This 90-nucleotide transfer RNA is filed under the name Penicillium egyptiacum. RNAcentral's name for it is "tRNA-Val". The record is from RNAcentral. Lineage: Eukaryota; Fungi; Ascomycota; Eurotiomycetes; Eurotiales; Aspergillaceae.
AGUUUCCUGGUCUAGCGGUUAUGAUUUUCCGUUAACAUCUGCUCUUAGCAUGUUCCGGAAAGGUUCUGGGUUCGAUUCCCAGGGAAACUA